RNAcentral lists this transfer RNA (87 nucleotides) under Actinomycetes bacterium. Its description in RNAcentral is "tRNA-Leu". It matches the Rfam family "tRNA". Rfam says of the family: Transfer RNA (tRNA) molecules are approximately 80 nucleotides in length. RNAcentral also lists the same sequence under 1 other name. Lineage: Bacteria; Bacillati; Actinomycetota; Actinomycetes. The record is from RNAcentral.
GCCGAAGUGGCGGAACCGGUAGACGCGCUGGACUCAAAACCCGGUGCCCGAGAGGGCGUGUGGGUUCAAAUCCCACCUUCGGCACCA